This is a long non-coding RNA of Octodon degus (degu), 523 nucleotides long. RefSeq lists it as uncharacterized. The transcript has 3 exons. Lineage: Eukaryota; Metazoa; Chordata; Mammalia; Rodentia; Octodontidae. The record is from RefSeq and is a predicted model, not a curated record.
CUUCAGUGACGCAAAGCCCCGCCCCGCGGCGCGUUGCCCGGCAACAGCCCCUGGCUCCGCCCCGACGUGGAGCCCCGCCCCUCCGGCGCCUUGUCUACUGACAGUAGAGCACCGCACGCCGGAGCUUUUUGGGCGCCCAGGGAUGGUGACCUAGGCCAAGGGCCGGACUCUUCCGGACAGCUCCAGCUUGUCAUGGAGGCCACAUUGCUAAGGCUGGUUUGGCCGAGGCUUGGAUUCCAAGCCACCUCCUAAGCCUCCAACCUCUCUUGGAUCACAGAUGGCGAGGCGGAGAUUAUCUUGUUUCUCUGUGCUGAAAUGGGAUGGGAUGGACUGUGGUUACCUGUGGGGCUGCUAGUAAGAAAGAGAAUUUCGAACGUGGAUAGCACACAGGGGCCCGAAGGGUCAAAGGAGUAAGGAGCAGAGCCACACUGAAACAAGCUGACUGACCCCUGAGCCUGUGUUUUUAACUCAUUUUAAACUGCCUGCCGACUUGGACUUCAUCUCCUGGCUUUCGGCACAGACU